UACCGGCACCCCGAGUGGUCGGGACGUUUAUUGGGCCUAAAGCAUCCGUAGCCGGUUCUACAAGUCUUCCGUUAAAUCCAGCUGCUUAACAGAUGGGCUGCGGAAGAUACUAUGGAGCUAGGAGGCGGGAGAGGCAAGCGGUACUCGAUGGGUAGGGGUAAAAUCCGUUGAUCCAUUGAAGACCACCAGUGGCGAAGGCGGCUUGCCAGAACGCGCUCGACGGUGAGGGAUGAAAGCUGGGGGAGCAAACCGG
RNAcentral lists this ribosomal RNA (253 nucleotides) under uncultured bacterium. RNAcentral describes it as "partial 16S ribosomal RNA". It matches the Rfam family "Archaeal small subunit ribosomal RNA", at positions 474 to 727 of the family's 1478-position model. The record is from RNAcentral.